UACAGAGGGGGCAAGCGUUGUUCGGAAUUACUGGGCGUAAAGGGCGCGUAGGCGGCCCGCUAAGUCGAACGUGAAAUCCCCGGGCUCAACCCGGGAACUGCGUCCGAUACUGGUGGGCUCGAAUCCGGGAGAGGGAUGCGGAAUUCCAGGUGUAGCGGUGAAAUGCGUAGAUAUCUGGAGGAACACCGGUGGCGAAGGCGGCAUCCUGGACCAACACUGACGCUGAGGAGCGAAAGCCAGGGGAGCAAACGGG
This 253-nucleotide ribosomal RNA is filed under the name uncultured bacterium. RNAcentral describes it as "partial 16S ribosomal RNA". It matches the Rfam family "Bacterial small subunit ribosomal RNA", at positions 524 to 776 of the family's 1533-position model. The record is from RNAcentral.